AAAUUCGUUUUUUAUUUUCGACUAAUUUAUAUAAUUUAUUCAUUAAGGGUAUAAACGAUUUAUUAUUAAUUUUAAAUCAUUUUUUUAAUAAGAUAGAUUUGAAAUUCGUUUUUAUUUUUUUGAUUAAUUUAUAUUAUUAUUCAUUAAGGGUAUAAACGAUAUUAACCGCUCUAACUUUUAACGUGAGAGCUCCGUUGAAAAAUUUUACUUUGCGAAUAAUAGUAUAGAUAUUUUUUUUUUGAUUUUUUAAAUAAAAAAUGUGGUCAAAGACGAAAUAACCCUUAAUGAAAUAGCUUAAUUACAAGGAUCCAACUCUAAAGACCCGACCGACCCAAACCCUACUCGGUUUAAUCCGGAUCCUAAUCUAAACGACGGCGUUCCCUCCUCAAUCGUCCCUAUCUCUCUUACUUUUCUGAUUUCACGUCUUCUUCAUGUUCUUCCCAAUUCUCCCUCUCUUUCUGGCGACGGCGAAGCGAAACCGUAGAGAACCAAACCGGACCUCUUCAACGAACUCAAUUCAUCGUACAGAAGCGAAAAAAACAUCACACAAUAAACAUGACCACUUUGUGUUCUUCUCCAUCUUCCCCGCGAUUCUUCGCCACCAAAUCUGAACUCUACAAAGCUCCUUUUUUAUCCUUCUCCAUUCUAAAACGAUGUCAUUCUCGUCCUCCCCGUAAUCUAAACUCUAAUGACUCAACUUAUCGCGACGGCAAUCUUUUUACAAUCUGCACUUCGUCUUCCUCUGAAGACCAACGUCUAAUCUUAACCUAGACGUCCACCGUAUCUCCCCCUAGCUACUUCCCGCUUCAAGCUCUUUCUCGAUUCGGGGAAAGACGCUGUCUCCGACUUGCAAACUUUAGUCUCGCUAGACGUGCAGGAAAUCAACUAUGCAGUUUGUUGGAGGUGUGGUUUCGAUUGGUGUUUGGUUUUUCAGUUAGGAUUUUUGUAUGUUUGUGAACAGCUUUUAAGGGUGGUUUACAAGGGAGACCCAAGUUGGUAGUUAGGAGAGAUAGAAGUCUUGGUGGGAAGGAAGUGGUUGUAGCUGUUGAUAACAUUGGUUCAUCUUCAAGCUCCGUAGCUUCUUCUGGUCAGGCUUCUAAAAAUAACUCUGUAGCUAGAACCCUCAAGCUUUGAGCUCAGAACAAUUUUCCGAAAUGGUGGCCUGCUUCAUUGCCUAGACACAGCUUGGAAGUAGACAAAGAAGACUAUCAGAGAGAAGUCAACAUAAUCGUUAGGGGUUGUUUCUAUAAACUCCUUCAAUGUCAUCUCUUUUGGAUUUUCAUCACAAGCUUUUGCUUAAAGACAACUUCUUUUGUCUGUUUUGUUUCAGCUGAAGAAGCUGAUAAAACAGAGCAAGGAAUUAUGGAAGAAGAGGGAAGAAACUGAGAAGUCAUAAGCCAAUUAAGUUGUAAACCUGAGAGUCUCUGCGUUUCACUUUAACGAUAUUAGCAACAUGGUGUAAGAGACUUGUGAAGCUUGAGCUUAGUGGUUGUGAAGGUAGCUUUGAUGGGAUUAAAGCCAUUGGGAAAUGUUGUGACCACAGACCUGCUGAGAAUCUCGGCUUGUAGAAAGGUGGAUCCUUGUACUGGACCAGAGAAGUUGAUGAGGUCUUGCCCGGCUCUCGAGAGUUUGCAACUCAAAAAGUGUUGUUUGAAUGAUAAAGAAGGGACGAGAGCUUCUUGGGGUAUUAUAUUUUAUCUUCGGUGGAUCCUUGUCCUGGACCAGAGAAGCGUUGGGAGCUUCUUGAUGUUUUAUAUCAAUUAGGUACAGUAUGAUGUUUUGCAUAAAAUUAUAGUAUUGAGAAAACUUAUUGUUGAUUUUAUUUUUGUUGUUAUGUUUGGAAAACCAAAGAAACGUUUGUGAUAUUUAUUACAUGAAUAAAAAGCUGUGCUUUGGAUGUCAAAAA
Brassica napus (rape) is the source of this 1906-nucleotide long non-coding RNA. RefSeq lists it as uncharacterized. The transcript is spliced from 2 exons. NCBI's taxonomy places the organism in Eukaryota, Viridiplantae, Streptophyta, Magnoliopsida, Brassicales, Brassicaceae. The record is from RefSeq and is a predicted model, not a curated record.